UCAUAGAGUAAGGAACAGUGGUCUGAAGUGGAAGGAAAAAUACAUUUAGAUAUGUUCUCAGUGAUAAAUGAAAACAGAAUUAACAAGACACUUGAGAAUGUGGGAAAAAAAAUACCAAAACACUUUGCAGUUGCCUAAUUGCUGACACUGAUGAACACUAAUGUUGAUUGUGGCUAGUCUGCUCACAGCUGUCAUCUUUCCUGUUUUCCACAGAAAUAAAGAGGAGGCAUUACUAUCAGAACAACGUAUGUAGUUGCUGAAUCCCUCAGGGCAAAUGGCUGCAGGAGUGGGAAGACAUAGUUGGCUGACUCGUUACACACCAGGAAGAAAAAGACAAUUUAAAAACCUCCACAUAAGCUUAAAUCUUCAGUUAAGCUCUCCUAGUACAAUUUGAAAAAUAGAAUGAUGCUGCAGUAUUAGAUCUCUGAAGUGACUGUUAGAUGGAGUCAAUGUGUAGCAUGGGAUCAAACUCCUUAAUAUAAUACAUUAGACAAAAAGUUUGCUAAAAUUUGAAUCAUUAAUUCAAUGGCUCCCAAGCUUGA
Long non-coding RNA from Gallus gallus (chicken), 542 nucleotides. Lineage: Eukaryota; Metazoa; Chordata; Aves; Galliformes; Phasianidae. The record is from Ensembl.